Molecule: ribosomal RNA, 253 nt
Filed under: uncultured bacterium
Lineage: Bacteria
Description: partial 16S ribosomal RNA
Rfam family: Bacterial small subunit ribosomal RNA
Source: RNAcentral
UACGGAGGGUGCAAGCGUUAUCCGGAUUCACUGGGUUUAAAGGGUGCGUAGGCGGGCAGGUAAGUCAGUGGUGAAAUCUUUGGGCUUAACCCGAAAACUGCCAUUGAUACUAUCUGUCUUGAAUAUUGUGGAGGUUUGCGGAAUAUGUCAUGUAGCGGUGAAAUGCUUAGAUAUGACAUAGAACACCAAUUGCGAAGGCAGCUGGCUACACGAAUAUUGACACUGAUGCACGAAAGCGUGGGGAUCAAACAGG